UUUGCAUACCGUGUUUUCAGAUCUGUUCCCCUCUCACUUCCACGACCCUCUUCUUCCAGUCCAGCCGCCGCCAUGGAUGAACCCUCCUCUGCAUUGACAACCUCGUCCAUCAAGCUGCCCACAAAUGAUGAGCUGCUGGUCAAGGGCUUUCCUCCGCAAUCUCCUAUCUGUGUCACCAUCAGCAAGCAAUUCAUUCUUGAACAAGCAAUUGAAAGAAUUGGUGGCACAAUCCAUCCAUUCACUUUCACCGACAUAGGCAGUGACGAUGUGGGUAUCUCUGUCUCUAAUGACCUGCCCCCGCACAGCAAAAGACUGUCAAGCACAACAAAGGAAUUUCAUGGACCAUGCAUUGAAUCUACGUGUGUUGCCGCCCUUGGAUACCUUCAGAAAACAGGUAUAAUCACGGUAGAUGAUGCAAAUUUCGCGAAGUUGAAAAAAUGCAAUAGAAAACUUCAGGUUGAGGAGUUCUGGUCGUCGGCGCUCUACGAUCAGGCCAGCGCCCUGCGUAACCAACUCUCUUCACUGACCGCAAUCAACCAGGGUCCUCAACCUAAGCCUAAACAAGAAGCUAAUGUGCUACCUUCUACGCACAAGAAUACUCCACGGGCCAAUUACCAAAUCAUGCUGUCCGAGUUGCUUGCCCCCAGGAUACCAGUGAAGAAGAAAGUGCAUCAACCCCGGUCACAGCAAAUACUAAUAGGUGCUCUCCACUCCAUUUUCUUAUCGUUGUCUUCACAUACAACCCAGCUGUGGCUUCUGUGUCCUAACUACACAAUUACUCAUUGUCAGCAUCUAUCGUCUACCUUCUAAAAGUAACAAGAAGAUGAGGACCGCACGCCGAGCACUAUUCCCUGGAAAAUAGAGCAGCACACACGCCAUUGCAGGCUCCCAUCAUUACAACAACACGAUGGAAUAAGCCAUUCUCCGAGUCUACGUUGCAUUGAACCUUGCCAGAUUCAGGACCCGUCGCUUUUGUCAUACACGCAGCUUGAUCUUGCAGCUGUAUAGCACUAUGUAUAAAUGCAUGAAACCCUCUGUUAUGCUACUCCGGAUUAGAUGCAAAUUACAUGCUUUUGUACCUCCCCACGUCGAACGAAGGCAGUUCACAUUCAAGCUUUAUUGCCCCUGAACAAUUAACAUUAUAAUCUAUCUUUUCAGCAUGUUAGGAUCAUCUCCAUUAA
Aegilops tauschii subsp. strangulata is the source of this 1181-nucleotide non-coding RNA. The record is from RefSeq and is a predicted model, not a curated record. NCBI's taxonomy places the organism in Eukaryota, Viridiplantae, Streptophyta, Magnoliopsida, Poales, Poaceae.